ACCCUCUGUGGAUAGCACCUGGAGAGUUUCCAGUAGUCUGUCAGUCUCGGUUACGGGAGGGAGAGUCAAGCAGAGGCACACCCAUUCCAUUACUAACUGGGACAGUGGCUAGCAAUUGGAAGACAAUCUGCUACAAGU
Ornithorhynchus anatinus (platypus) is the source of this 138-nucleotide small nucleolar RNA. Lineage: Eukaryota; Metazoa; Chordata; Mammalia; Monotremata; Ornithorhynchidae. The record is from RefSeq and is a predicted model, not a curated record.